RNAcentral lists this ribosomal RNA (468 nucleotides) under uncultured bacterium. Its description in RNAcentral is "partial 16S ribosomal RNA". It matches the Rfam family "Bacterial small subunit ribosomal RNA", at positions 28 to 507 of the family's 1533-position model. The record is from RNAcentral.
GACGAACGCUGGCGGCGUGCUUAACACAUGCAAGUCGAACGGAAAGGCCCUGCUUUUGUGGGGUGCUCGAGUGGCGAACGGGUGAGUAACACGUGAGUAACCUGCCCUUGACUUUGGGAUAACUUCAGGAAACUGGGGCUAAUACCGGAUAGGAGCUCCUGCUGAAUGGUGGGGGUUGGAAAGUUUCGGCGGUUGGGGAUGGACUCGCGGCGUAUCAGCUUGUUGUUGGGGUGGUGGCUUACCAAGGCUUUGACGGGUAGCCGGCCUGAGAGGGUGACCUGCCACAUUGGGACUGAGAUACGGCCCAGACUCCUACGGGAGGCAGCAGUGGGGUAUAGUGCACAAUGGGCGGAAGCCUGAUGCAGCAACGCCGCGUGCGGGAUGACGGCCUUCGCGUUGUAUACCGCUUUCGCCUGUGACGAAGCGUGAGUGACGGUAAUGGGUAAAGAAGCACCGGCUAACUACGUG